This is a long non-coding RNA of Clupea harengus (Atlantic herring), 2802 nucleotides long. NCBI's taxonomy places the organism in Eukaryota, Metazoa, Chordata, Actinopteri, Clupeiformes, Clupeidae. The record is from Ensembl.
ACUUGUGACUGUAUCAGAGGAAAUUCCCUCUGUGGGCUCUGGUAGCGGGAAUUAGUGGACAGCACCUCGUGAGAUGCUAAUGCAGAGCAGAUGUGUGGCUUCAUGGAGAGAGGUUCUUAUUCUAAAGGAGCCAAUGUCUCCACUUUGUCAUUGAGGCUCCUGCAGGUGGGAACGGCCAGGCAGUCCUUGUACGUCUGCGGCAGCAGCUCCCCAACAGCCCCGGCCUAAUGCUCUUCCUGGGCCUGCUGAUUGGACGACUGUUUCAGUAUAUCAGGAGGAGGAGAUGACUGAUUGGACAGAUGGAAAACCCAGCAGACCUGUAGCCCCUGAACUUAAUGUACAUGAUGUAAAUACGACCUGCAUGCUUUCGAGCAGUUGCAGUUGCAGUUGCAGUUGCAGUUGCAGUUGCAGUCUCUCCGUUGGUUACCCCAUGCUGGUGGAACUCCAGUGCAAUGGGACUUGCUGUUUGGUUCUGGUGUGAUGGCAACUUCACCAGAUCAGAGAUUGAAGAUUGGAAUGUUGGCAAGGGGAGCAAUUUUUUUUGUUUGUUUGUUUGUUUGUUCCAGUAAAUCUGCAGCACGUGGAUAUUUUUCAUCUUAUUUUUUGAAAUAAUGAGUUUCCUGCAUGAUAUUGGAAAGCUGAGCCAAACAUGCUGUGGAUUGCCUGGACUGAGCAAGCAGCCCUCUGUCCGAGCAGAGCAUGGCGGAAACAAACAUUCCUCUUUUUUGGUCCUCUUCUUUGGUUUCUUCCUCUGUCUUUUUUUGUUUGACUUUUGCGUCUAUUUAUUUCACCUUUUUUGUAUUUAAUUUGUACAUUUGUGUAUAGAUAUCAUUUCUGUUGUUGACGUGGUCAUUAGGCAGCGUAGCAGAAUCUCUGAUGUUCCUGCAAAAGCAGCGCUGUCUCUCCAGUAUGGUCUCCUUGGUCUAAAAUUUGGCACUUCCAUUUUUGUGUGUUGAUAUUGCAGAAUUAUAUUAAGUCUUUUCAUGUUUUUAAAACCCCUUAUUACUCAAUUUUACAGUUGAUAGCUAUGUUGAAUAAUGUCCAGAUUUUAGAGUGAAAACCUUUAUGAUUUGUGAAGAAAAAAAAAGAAAAAGUGACAUCUGAUUGGCUGAGAAAAAUAUGAACUGAUACUGGUGUUACACUUUCCAACAUCAAUCAUCUCACUGUUGUAACCUUUGGCAGGCCCAUCCUUCAGAUGCGUGCCAAUUUGCCAGCACAACAUAACUGUUGGCGUGGGUAUGUCCACCACUGAAGUGUCAGGUCAUUUAAAGAUCAUCUAACACCAGACUCCGCCACAGGGGAGAGCAGCUUCAUCAAUGAAAACCACUGAAUGAACUGGAUCCAGGGUAACAGGGUUUCAAAAGUUUUACACAGGGUUUUACACAGGCUCUAUCACAACACUGAGGUACAUGCAUAUCCAAUGUAAGGGCUAUAACCACCUGACCUGUCUGCUUGAGGUUUUUGCUUAAAGGUGCAGUUUGCAAUUCUAAACCAAUAUACUUUUUGUCAAAAUCAGCAAAUUGCUCACGGUCCCCUAGCUGUCUGUUCAGUGUUUGCGCUCAAAAAAAACUCCAGUGUUCCUACACAGUCCUGGCUCUGUAAAUGGGAAACAAACACAGUGGCUCGACCAAGCCAUAAACAUUCCCAGCCCCAAAAAAUGAACAACCUUUUGCAAAACCGAAUCGCAGACUGCAUCUUUAAGUACUUUUUUGUGUAGUCAUGAUUAAUAAGUAUGUGUGUUAAUGGAGGAAGGCAAUAGAGUACUGGAGGGCAUUGUGCUUACUACUUUGUGUGUGUGUGCCAUCCUUUGGAGGCUUCAUCCAAUUUAUAUAGUUCAAUCGAGCAGUCAUGCUUCCCAUAAUGCAAUCUGUCCUUUUAAACAGUAAGCUUUUGUCAGCAGUUGGUCUAAGGCAAAGCACACUUUUGUGUUUUGUUGGACAGUAAAAAUCUUGGAGCUAAAAUGAAUAGUACUAGAGAAUUUAAAGCAGAAAAGUAAUCGCUUACAGAGUCGAGCUCUGUGAGCAAGAAGCCAAGAGUAACAGAUAGACGUUGUUAUCUGAUUAUGACUCCUUUUUAUCUUCUCCUGGUCACACCCAGGGGCGAGGGUGAGAAAGUAACAACAGCCGACACAACCUCAUUUUUACACCUCUUUGAAAACAACCAAAAAACUGCGUAUUUCUCAGUGCCAAAAGACUACCGCUGAGCCUUUUGUACCUUUCUUAUGGUGAGUCAGUGAAUGAGACCAAAGAUCCUCUUUUGUACUGUAACUAAGCAAGACUUAACGUUGUGAAAGAGAACCUGUAAGCAGAUUUUUUUGACACACGAGUGAAUUUGAGAUCUUGUUUGUGUCAUUUGUAACUCCUAUGCAUUGCGUGUUCAUAACGGUAUGUUAUUUCCCCUUACAGUUGGCAAGUUACGCCAGCUGCUCCAGUAUUUUACCUGUAAUUUUAUUUCGUUAGCAUUGUUGUACACACCAUAACUGUGUAGCCUUUUAUUUCAGAACAACUAUUCUCGCAUUGAACAUUAGCGGCAGUGGGAGGCCAUCUUUUAGACAGACUCUAUAUGACAGCAUGUUCAGGACGUUUGCACUGAGGGCCUGGAGAAGCUGACCUAAGACCACCUCAUGGGACCCAGUUCAUAUGUAGCAAAAAUGUUUUCAGUUUUUUUUUUUAAACGUAUUUUGUAUUUUGCACUGAAAUUUUGCUAUGCUUUCAUAAUAAAUGUGCAAUACUGCUGUAAAUAAACAUGGCUGUCAGCUACUCUCUUCUUAAACAUGAAUGGAAAAGUCAGACUGUAAUUUUA